Xiphophorus hellerii (green swordtail) is the source of this 334-nucleotide long non-coding RNA. RefSeq lists it as uncharacterized. NCBI's taxonomy places the organism in Eukaryota, Metazoa, Chordata, Actinopteri, Cyprinodontiformes, Poeciliidae. The transcript is spliced from 3 exons. The record is from RefSeq and is a predicted model, not a curated record.
UUGAAUAAUACUUGACUUAAAAAUAUCUUAAAAGUAAAAUUAAAUGUAACUUAGAGGCAUUUGCUGCUGCUGAUGUUGUAAAAUGUGACAAGAAAUGUUGCCUGCUUGGAGAAGAGCUACAAAGAAAUAAUUUAGUUUAAUCAUUUUAUAACUCUGUUACUACAGAGGAGGGCUGAGCUGGCAGUUAAAAAACUACAAUGAUGGAGGAACUCUGACUGACUACAGAAGGAGGCUGAAUGUUAGAACUACAAACACGGCAGAAUGUUUUGGGCAUUAUAGAUCUGAUUUAACCCAACCACUGUUACACAUGGGAUUAGUUUAGCUCUUUAAAAUG